This 496-nucleotide ribosomal RNA is filed under the name uncultured bacterium. RNAcentral describes it as "partial 16S ribosomal RNA". It matches the Rfam family "Bacterial small subunit ribosomal RNA", at positions 28 to 507 of the family's 1533-position model. The record is from RNAcentral.
GAUGAACGCUGGCGGCGUGCCUAAUACAUGCAAGUCGAGCGAACGGACGAGAAGCUUGCUUCUCUGAUGUUAGCGGCGGACGGGUGAGUAACACGUGGAUAACCUACCUAUAAGACUGGGAUAACUUCGGGAACCGGAGCUAAUUCCGGAUAAUUUUUUUAACCCCCAGGGUUAAAAAUAAAAGGAGGUCUUGCUGUUCCCUAUAGAUGGAUCCGCGCUGCAUUAGCUAGUUGGUAAGGUAACGGCUUACCAAGGCAACGAUGCAUAGCCGACCUGAGAGGGUGAUCGGCCACACUGGAACUGAGACACGGUCCAGACUCCUACGGGAGGCAGCAGUAGGGAAUCUUCCGCAAUGGGCGAAAGCCUGACGGAGCAACGCCGCGUGAGUGAUGAAGGUCUUCGGAUCGUAAAACUCUGUUAUUAGGGAAGAACAUAUGUGUAAGUAACUGUGCACAUCUUGACGGUACCUAAUCAGAAAGCCACGGCUAACUACGUG